Molecule: long non-coding RNA, 221 nt
Filed under: Homo sapiens (human)
Lineage: Eukaryota; Metazoa; Chordata; Mammalia; Primates; Hominidae
Description: HSALNT0197588
Source: RNAcentral
GAGAACACACUGGCGCUGCUGCGCUCCACAGGACUGCUGCUCACAGGGAAAACAGAGACAGAGAUGGAGAAGGAGACUCCUGAGUUCAUCAAGAAACACCUUGAUCCAGCCUUGCUUGGAACGUUGGGGUAGAUGAACAACAGGAGAAUGGACAAGACAUCAUAAAGGCGGUAAUCAUGCUUCCUUCGGCCAGAAACGGUCCCCAUCCCAUCUAUUGAUGA